Molecule: ribosomal RNA, 460 nt
Filed under: uncultured bacterium
Lineage: Bacteria
Description: partial 16S ribosomal RNA
Rfam family: Bacterial small subunit ribosomal RNA
Source: RNAcentral
CCUACGGGGGGCUGCAGUGAGGAAUAUUGGUCAAUGGACGCGAGUCUGAACCAGCCAAGCCGCGUGCAUGAUGACGGCUCUAUGGGUUGUAAACUUCUUUUAUACAGGAAUAAAACCAGGUACGUGUGUCUUUCUGCACGUACCUUACGAAUAAGGAUCGGCUAACUCCGUGCCAGCAGCCGCGGUAAUACGGAGGAUUCGAGCGUUAUCCGGAUUUAUUGGGUUUAAAGGGUGCGUAGACGGGUGGUUAAGUCAGUUGUGAAAGUUUGCGGCUCAACCGUGGAAUUGCAAUUGAUACUGGCAGGCUAGAGAGCAGUUGAGGUAGGCGGAAUGCAUGGUGUAGCGGUGAAAUGCUUAGAGAUCACGAAGAACCCCGAUUGCGAAGGCAGCUUACUAAGCUACUACUGACGUUGAUGCACGAAAGUGUGGGUAGCAAACAGGAUUAGAUACCCUUGUAGUC